This 151-nucleotide microRNA precursor is filed under the name Myotis brandtii (Brandt's bat). RNAcentral describes it as "MIR480 microRNA precursor family". It matches the Rfam family "MIR480 microRNA precursor family". The record is from Rfam by way of RNAcentral. Lineage: Eukaryota; Metazoa; Chordata; Mammalia; Chiroptera; Vespertilionidae.
AAAGCUAUGAGGGGUAAAAUCACAUCUUAUUAUGAGUUAAAGUAGUGAUACCAGACUGUACUAAAUUAGCAGUCAUUACACUGUCUACCACUAACUUUCACAUUAAAAAAAAAAAAAGCCAAUAAUUAUGUCCUAGAUCAGUGAUCAGCAA